RNAcentral lists this ribosomal RNA (498 nucleotides) under uncultured bacterium. RNAcentral describes it as "bacterial SSU rRNA". It matches the Rfam family "Bacterial small subunit ribosomal RNA", at positions 28 to 526 of the family's 1533-position model. The record is from RNAcentral.
GGUGAACGCUGGCGGCGUGCCUAACACAUGCAAGUCGAGCGGUGCAGCUUGAAGCUUCGGUGGAUAGCUGCAUAGCGGCGGAAGGGUGAGUAAUACGUAGGAACGUGCCCCUCGGAGUUGGAUAGCCACGGGAAACUGUGGAUAAACCGACAUAGACUCGAGAGAGUAAAAGCCGAAAGGCUGCCAAGGGAGCGGCCUGCGUCCCAUCAGGUAGUUGGUAGUGUAAAGGACUACCAAGCCGACGACGGGUAGCCGGUCUGAGAGGAUGGCCGGCCACAAGGGCACUGAGAGACGGGCCCUACUCCUACGGGAGGCAGCAGUGGGGGAUUUUGGACAAUGGGCGAAAGCCUGAUCCAGCCAUUCCGCGUGCAGGAUGAAGGCCCUCGGGUUGUAAACUGCUUUUGUACAGAACGAAAAGCUCUUUCUAAUACAGAGAGUCCAUGACGGUACUGUAAGAAUAAGCACCGGCUAACUACGUGCCAGCAGCCGCGGUAAGAU